AUUUAAUUUAAGUCUCUUUCUAAGGGCAGGAGCUGUGUCAUCUUCUUUUGGUCCGUCUAUAGUGUAUGCAGUGCAUCCCAGACUGAACACUUAACUAACCAUACAUUCCUGAUGACUUGACUCUGGGAAGAUAGCACCACUCACUCACAAGAUAGCGCUACUCACUUACAAGAACAGAACAGGUACUUUUGAAAGAUUUCCCAAGUGGUGACAAAAAUGGUCACAGACUAUUGAAAAUCUCUAAUUCCAUCAUCCUUUUGACCCAUGCCAUACAUAUAAACAUGAGAAAUUGGGAUUACAUCUUCAUUCAUCAGGAGUGGGACAGAAUUUACAACUGUACCUAAGACAAACUGACUCACUGAAAACUACUUAGUGAUCUCAGUAGCUGGACCCGCUGUAGUAAAGGCAACUUAGCCAGGGGAGGGGAAAGUAGGAGAUUCAAUCUAUUUCUUUCAAAGCUGAAUGAGAAACUCAAAAUGUGUUCAUAGUAUGUAUUUCCAUUGUUAGGGGGAAAAAAAGAGAGGUGAGCUCAGCUUUCAUUUCAUAAAAGUUAAACAUACAAGAGGGGAAAAAAGGAAUCCAUUGUUUAUGCUCACUUCAGAAGAGAACAUUGAAAGUCAAGGGGGUGUGUCUGGUGGUUUUGCAAAGAGAUGCCUCUGGGGAUGUCUACAAUCAAUGUCGUCAGCAUAAAGUCGCUGUCAUUGCUAUAGUGAAGGGCAAAU
This 722-nucleotide long non-coding RNA is filed under the name Marmota monax (woodchuck). The record is from RNAcentral. Lineage: Eukaryota; Metazoa; Chordata; Mammalia; Rodentia; Sciuridae.